Molecule: ribosomal RNA, 253 nt
Filed under: uncultured bacterium
Lineage: Bacteria
Description: partial 16S ribosomal RNA
Rfam family: Bacterial small subunit ribosomal RNA
Source: RNAcentral
UACGGAGGGUGCAAGCGUUAAUCGGAAUUACUGGGCGUAAAGCGUGCGCAGGCGGUUUGUUAAGUCCGCUGUGAAAUCCCCGAGCUCAACUUGGGAAUUGCAGUGGAUACUGGCAAGCUGGAGUAUGGUAGAGGAAGGUGGAAUUCCCGGUGUAGCAGUGAAAUGCGUAGAGAUCGGGAGGAACACCAGUGGCGAAGGCGGCCUUCUGGACCAAUACUGACACUCAUACACGAAAGCGUGGGGAUCAAACAGG